GAUGAACGCUAGCGAUAGGCUUAACACAUGCCAGUCGAGGGGCAGCACAAGGUAGCUUGCUAUCUGGGUGGCGACCGGCGCACGGGUGCGUAACGCGUAUGCAACUUGCCCUAUACAGGAGGAUAACCCGUCGAAAGACGGACUAAUACUGCGUAUGCUCACAACUUGGCAUCAAGUGGUGAGGAAAGAAAUUCGGUAUAGGAUAGGCAUGCGUCCCAUUAGCUUGUUGGUGAGGUAACGGCUCACCAAGGCAACGAUGGGUAGGGGAACUGAGAGGUUUAUCCCCCACACUGGUACUGAGACACGGACCAGACUCCUACGGGAGGCAGCAGUGAGGAAUAUUGGUCAAUGGGCGCGAGCCUGAACCAGCCAAGUCGCGUGAAGGAUGACUGUCUUAUGGAUUGUAAACUUCUUUUAGACGGGAAUAACAAGAGUCACGUGUGACUCCCUGCAUGUACCGUAUGAAUAAGCAUCGGCUAACUCCGUG
RNAcentral lists this ribosomal RNA (487 nucleotides) under uncultured bacterium. RNAcentral's name for it is "partial 16S ribosomal RNA". It matches the Rfam family "Bacterial small subunit ribosomal RNA", at positions 28 to 507 of the family's 1533-position model. The record is from RNAcentral.